CCUACGGGAGGCUGCAGUGGGGAAUAUUGGACAAUGGGCGAAAGCCUGAUCCAGCCAUGCCGCGUGUGUGAAGAAGGCCUUCGGGUUGUAAAGCACUUUCAGUGGGGAAGAAAGCCUUGGGGCUAAUACCCUCGAGGAAGGACAUCACCCACAGAAGAAGCACCGGCUAACUCCGUGCCAGCAGCCGCGGUAAUACGGAGGGUGCGAGCGUUAAUCGGAAUUACUGGGCGUAAAGCGCGCGUAGGCGGUCUGAUAAGCCGGUUGUGAAAGCCCCGGGCUCAACCUGGGAACGGCAUCCGGAACUGUCAGGCUAGAGUGCAGGAGAGGAAGGUAGAAUUCCCGGUGUAGCGGUGAAAUGCGUAGAGAUCGGGAGGAAUACCAGUGGCGAAGGCGGCCUUCUGGACUGACACUGACGCUGAGGUGCGAAAGCGUGGGUAGCAUACAGGAUUAGAUACCCUAGUAGUC
This 465-nucleotide ribosomal RNA is filed under the name Vreelandella stevensii. RNAcentral describes it as "partial 16S ribosomal RNA". It matches the Rfam family "Bacterial small subunit ribosomal RNA", at positions 338 to 795 of the family's 1533-position model. The record is from RNAcentral. Lineage: Bacteria; Pseudomonadati; Pseudomonadota; Gammaproteobacteria; Oceanospirillales; Halomonadaceae.